Triticum dicoccoides is the source of this 201-nucleotide long non-coding RNA. RefSeq lists it as uncharacterized. NCBI's taxonomy places the organism in Eukaryota, Viridiplantae, Streptophyta, Magnoliopsida, Poales, Poaceae. The transcript has 3 exons. The record is from RefSeq and is a predicted model, not a curated record.
GAUUUCAUUGUUGAAAGGAAAAUUGUGGAUGAUUUACUUGGCUCAAUUAAAGACAACAGAUACAAAGAUCAAAAACUAAGACUGAAGAAAUGUGGGCUAAGGAAGCUAAUAUAUCUAGUUGAAGGGGAUGUAAACACUGUAGAUGGAUCAGAGAGCGUUAAAACAGCCUGCUUCACUAGUGAGGUUCUUGAAGGAUUUGAU